GACUUACGUCAGAUUUAUUUUUGGGGGCUAUGCGAAAGAUCGUUUUUACGCCAGCAAUCCUCAAACUCUUGAGCUACUGAAAAGCCAAUACCCGGGAAGUAUGACCGAGAUAAAGCCCAGUCACUAUGGACGAGUUACAGGACAUUCAACCGAGGGAAACUUAUGUUUGGGUAAUAAGAAGAAAGCUUCCUCAUCAGUUUUACAACCAAAUGUCAACCAAAUUCAUGUCUCAGUAAUGCCGCAUUACUGAAUAAAAAGCCAGAUCAAGUUCGAUAUAGAAACCUCAGAAGAAUAUAGAGAUUUGACACACAUUAAAAAUGAAGAAAAGCAAUAUGGCAUUCUUGAAUGAUGAAUGAAUGAAAACAAACAAGAGAGACCGAUCAGAGUAAUGCUCAAAAAUCUUCAACUAUCCUGUAGCACUGAAGAGCUAUUACAGGAGUUGAAAGAAAAAGGCUUUAAAACAGUCAAUGUUAUAAAUAAACUAAAGAGAAUCACGAGAAACAAUAAGAAUAUAUAAAGUUUCCAUUAUUUUUAGCAACAAAAUACUGAAGACGUCAAAAAGGUAUUUGUAAUACAAUAUCUAGCCAACUCGAAAAGUAUUCCGUUGGUGUAUUGAAUGUGGAUCUAACCAUGGCUCUAACUAUGGGCCUACACAACAUAUCCAGCUGAAAAUACUCAGUUUCAUAAAAAUGGAACGAAAGUCCGAGAAGAUUUAAUUUAUUAGGAAAAAGACUAACAAUAAAACAAUAAAAAAACGGAAAUCGACGUGCAGAUGACUCAUCCAAAGGGACGACCAAGCAAACAACUAUAUCAUCUCGUUAAUUCUGUAGUUAGUUGCCUUCGGGAAGUGGUAAAAGCCUCAAUAUCGCUUGAGUUUUUUUGGAAAACGUCACUAAUUACUCAGUGUGUUACGGGAAGGAAACAAGAUACGUCACCAGUUCUUUUGAUGAUUUGGUGCCAAUAAGGGCAGUGCGCUAGAUCUUCCGUUAUCUGCUAACUGAAAGAUUAAAGUUUUCAAUUCUGA
Molecule: long non-coding RNA, 1024 nt
Organism: Dendroctonus ponderosae (mountain pine beetle)
Lineage: Eukaryota; Metazoa; Arthropoda; Insecta; Coleoptera; Curculionidae
Exons: 2
Source: RefSeq, a predicted model, not a curated record